GGGGACGCUUUGCGUGUGUGCCGCUGUCGGUGGUGCUGGUUUUGCUCGCCUCCUGCUUGUGGCUCCUGCUCUCCUCGAGCGCGAGGUGCUUCUGCCUGUGUCGCACGUCGUUGUGGCUUUACGGGCAUGGAGCUGCGAGUCGAUCCCUUUCCCGGAUAGGCGUUUCCACGCCUCAUCGGUCUCGGCGCUGUUUUUGAGCAACGCACGCAUCUUUUUCACUUUGUCGCGUGAUACCACAAUCUGCCGGUCGCGACCGGCAGAUUCUGGUAUCCCAUUUUUCCGGUAAAAAGCUAUGUGCGUUGAAUGGACUGCACCCGAUGCUUGUUAGGCUUGUUAUCCGACUCCCUCUGCUGGCUAUCUGUCUGCACCCGAUCUGGAUGAAAGCCGCCAAAACCUGGUCAAACGGUAAAUAACGGGGACUUUGGUUUAAAGUACUGUCCUCGAUCUACGGGCAAAUCCACCAUGGCUGACGAAUCUCACGCACGCACUUACACACUCCCUGAGCCAGAAUCAAACUCUAAAAUCGGAAUUACUGGGCGUAAAGCGCACGCACGCGGUCUGUCAAGUCUGAAGUGAAAUCCCCGGGCUCACCUGGGAACUGCAUUCGAAACUGGCAGGCUUGGAGUCUUGUAGAGGGGGGUAGAAUUCCGGUGUAGCGGUGAAAUGCUAUAGAUCUGGAAGAAUACUGGUGGCGAAGGCGGCCCCUGGACAAAGACUGACGCUCAGGUGCGAAAGCGUGGGGGAGCAAACACGAUUAAAUACCCUGGGUAGUCCCCCCAAACCAAUGUCAUUGGGGUGUGCCUUGAGGGUGGCUUCGGACUACCCUUA
This 828-nucleotide ribosomal RNA is filed under the name uncultured bacterium. Its description in RNAcentral is "partial 16S ribosomal RNA". The stretch from base 494 to 828 matches the Rfam family "Bacterial small subunit ribosomal RNA", at positions 1 to 845 of the family's 1533-position model. The record is from RNAcentral.